Molecule: ribosomal RNA, 400 nt
Filed under: uncultured bacterium
Lineage: Bacteria
Description: bacterial SSU rRNA
Rfam family: Bacterial small subunit ribosomal RNA
Source: RNAcentral
UCGAGGAUCUUUAGCAAUGGGCGAAAGCCUGACUAUGCGACGCCGCGUGAGGGAUGAAGGUUUUCGGAUCGUAAUCCUCUUUCGAUGGGAAAGAAACGCCCGGCGGAAACGUCGGGACUGACGGUACCCAGAGAAGAAGCCACGGCCAACUCCGUGCCAGCAGCCGCGGUAAUACGGAGGUGGCGAGCGUUACUCGGAUUCAUUGGGUGUAAAGGACAGGUAGGUGUCCCGACAAGUUAGAAGUGAAAUCCUGCGGCUCAACCGCAGAACUGCUUCUAAAACUGUCGGGAUUGAGGCUGGAAGAGGAGAGCGGAAUUCCCGGUGUAAGGGUGAAAUCUGUAGAUAUCGGGAGGAACGCCAGUGGCGAAAGCGGCUCUCUGGUCUAGCCCUGACGCUGAGC